Molecule: ribosomal RNA, 253 nt
Filed under: uncultured bacterium
Lineage: Bacteria
Description: partial 16S ribosomal RNA
Rfam family: Bacterial small subunit ribosomal RNA
Source: RNAcentral
UACGUAGGCAGCAAGCGUUGUUCGGAAUUACUGGGCGUAAAGAGUGUGUAGGCGGUGUUCUAAGUCUGUUGUGAAAUCUCCCGGCUUAACUGGGAGGGUGCGGCGGAAACUAGAGUGCUCGAGUGUGGGAGAGGUAAGCGGAAUUCCUGGUGUAGCGGUGAAAUGCGUAGAUAUCAGGAGGAACACCUGUGGUGUAGACAGCUUACUGGACCACGACUGACGCUGAGGCACGAAAGCUAGGGGAGCGAACGGG